AAGAAUCACCUUGUGAUUGCACAAUUGCCUUGGAAGCCAUGGAAUGCCACACAAACAGUCGUAGGGACCCAAGUAGGUGCAUCUUAGCACAGCCACCCAGAACGAUACAAAGUCAAGGACCUGACUUUGCUGGUAAGACAUUUUAACCCACCUCCAUAGGGAAUCUACAUCCCAUCUUCUAGCACAGACUACAGCUUGCUGAUAGCCCAUGAGUCAAAAUAUGGAGGGGAUACUCCUCCAAACAAGUGAAGGUUUCUUACUUAUAAAGCUCAUUACACAACUAUUCAAAAUUCACUCUACUUUCCUCUUGCUUGAAAUGCUAAUAACACGUCAGUCCCGAGGCAGCUGUCAGUAGAUGGAAACAAAAGGAGAAAAGGCACCAUGUGCCUCCUGGUGACUGCAAGAAAACUCUCAGGAAUGGCAAGCAGAAAGGGAUGCUGCAAUAGAUUCUGAUACGAGGAGAUUUCACCAUCCAAGCUGCAUAAUUUGGGGCAACAUGGGACUGUUAACACACAUCGUUGAUCUCAGUGGUCUCCAUUUACAGAUCCCUGUUUUUCCCCAUAAGAAAUCACAAUAUAAGUGGGAAAAAUUCAGUACAAAACAUUCAGCAAACCAAAUGCACAAACUAAGGAUGGAUGACAAAUCUAAACACCAUUUGCAUAACUUACCUUUUUAUAAUUCUUCCUACUGGAAUACCUACUAGCUUUUCAGUUCUUUGUAAUCUGAUUUUAUUUUAUCCAGCCAGUCCUAAAAUGACAUUGUUUGGGUGUACACUCCAAAUACAUUUCAUACCCCCACUAUUUCAUUCCUUAGGCACAAAUACAGUAGCUCAGAUGUAUUUAUACUGUCUAACCAUCUGAAUGGACCCUCUGGGGCUUAGCACAGGAUAAAGAAAGGACUGUGAGGGGUGGAGAGAGGGAGUGAGGGAAGGACAGCAUGUUUAGACCUGUGGUUGGACAGCACCAGCGGUUAAAAUGACCAGAAUAUGAAGGAAGCAGGUAUGGGAGGAGAAAGAAGGAAGAUGGAGAGGUAUCUGAGAUCAACAACUAUGGAUGAAAGAAGAAGGGCAGAAUAUGAUGUUUCUCAGUAUUUGUUUUCCAAGCAUUAUUCACAGUUCAAAGCAAAGCUGAAUUCCAUGCAAUCCAUAAGUAAUCCAAGGAGGUUACCUCUAUUAAAAACCACUGAAACAAAAAUACUGCAAAGACCUAGACAUUUGAAAAGCAAAAAUGGUGUCUGCAGUGAAAUAGCUGGCCAAAUCUUUAUUAUGGAAUUAAACACAUAUUUCAAAAUAGAAAAAAAAGAUGUGGACUUGAAGCUUCCAUACAGUUGAAUUAUCACAUAAUUAUCCACAAUAUACAUCACACUGAAACAAAUUACUCCUAGGAUAAAGAAAACUAUGAUAGCUGGACCACACACAUUUCAGUGAUACAAGUUAGUAAAAUAGCCUUAUUAGUUUAUGCUGAAGAUUCAUGUAAUAAAUAUCAGUGUCUUCCCUGCUAAGAUGUUAUUCCUCCUAAACACAACAACAAAAAAAAUCAGGUAUUUUCUAGUCAGAUGCUGCAUUUGGGUCAUCAUUGUUCCUGGUCUCUGAUGAACAUGAACUCGUACUCCAUGAAUCUGUUUACACUUUUGGCUUUCUCUAUGUCCUCAGGCAACAGGUUUUGCCAUUUGUUUCGUAUGAGAAGUCCUUUCUUUUUUGAAGCUGGUAAACACUCAGAAACACCUGAUGAAACUGCAAAUAAUCCUUUCCAUCCUACCAUGAAUUUCCUGUUCAUCUACCACAGCCCUCUUCCAUCCCUUCUUUCAAAAGAGUCUAGACUCAGUGACUUCUCCUACAGAGCUGUUUCUCAUCUC
Molecule: long non-coding RNA, 1854 nt
Organism: Lepidothrix coronata (blue-crowned manakin)
Lineage: Eukaryota; Metazoa; Chordata; Aves; Passeriformes; Pipridae
Exons: 3
Source: RefSeq, a predicted model, not a curated record